RNAcentral lists this ribosomal RNA (253 nucleotides) under uncultured bacterium. RNAcentral's name for it is "partial 16S ribosomal RNA". It matches the Rfam family "Bacterial small subunit ribosomal RNA", at positions 524 to 776 of the family's 1533-position model. The record is from RNAcentral.
UACAGAGGGUGCAAGCGUUGUUCGGAAUUAUUGGGCGUAAAGCGCGUGUAGGCGGCUUUGCAAGUCGGGUGUGAAAUCCCUCAGCUCAACUGAGGAAGUGCGCCCGAAACUGCAGAGCUUGAGUACCGGAGAGGAUGGCGGAAUUCCCCAAGUAGAGGUGAAAUGCGUAGAGAUGGGGGAGAACACUCGUGGCGAAGGCGGCCAGCUAGACCAGUUCUGACACUGAGGCGCGACAGCGUGGGGAGCAAACAGG